This 497-nucleotide ribosomal RNA is filed under the name uncultured bacterium. RNAcentral describes it as "partial 16S ribosomal RNA". It matches the Rfam family "Bacterial small subunit ribosomal RNA", at positions 28 to 507 of the family's 1533-position model. The record is from RNAcentral.
GAUGAACGCUGGUGGCGUGCCUAAUACAUGCAAGUCGAGCGAACGGACGAGAAGCUUGCUUUUCUGAUGUUAGCGGCGGACGGGUGAGUAACACGUGGAUAACCUACCUAUAAGACUGGGAUAACUUCGGGAAACCGGAGCUAAUACCGGAUAAUAUUUUGAACCGCAUGGUUCAAAAGUGAAAGACGGUCUUGCUGUCACUUAUAGAUGGAUCCGCGCUGCAUUAGCUAGUUGGUGAGGUAACGGCUUACCAAGGCAACGAUGCAUAGCCGACCUGAGAGGGUGAUCGGCCACACUGGAACUGAGACACGGUCCAGACUCCUACGGGAGGCAGCAGUAGGGAAUCUUCCGCAAUGGGCGAAAGCCUGACGGAGCAACGCCGCGUGAGUGAUGAAGGUCUUCGGAUCGUAAAACUCUGUUAUUAGGGAAGAACAUAUGUGUAAGUAACUGUGCACAUCUUGACGGUACCUAAUCAGAAAGCCACGGCUAACUACGUG